ACGUCACUCGACCGCAAAGAGGACAUGCAGACUCCACACAGAAGGCGCUCCAACUGGGAAUCGAACUGGAGAACCUCUUAAUGUGAGGUGACAACCCCAUGGUGGUUGUGCAACAUGAGGUGCUGCCAUUUAACCUUGCCACUCAUGUCACGUGAAGUUCAAAAGCACUUACCCCAGUAAGAAAAUAUUUGAGUGUGUGCUGUCCAAAGCAAGUAACAACGCAAGGCUUUAAACAUCAGCUUUGUAGUAUUGUGAAGUACCUCGAGGUUUAAAAUUUUGCCGAAGUCCUCUCAACUAUCAAGAAAACGGACGCAGCUGUCUUCGGUAGACGUACUAUACUCAGGUUCUGAAGUACUUCUAAUCCCAGAAGACAUUGCGCCACAUUAGGAAGUAACGGUGUUGUUGCUUACAGCUGUGUGUGCUACAGGCACGUUUGAUACAUCCUUACCCGCUGUAUUUAUGUACGAACCGUGAAGGCUGUAUUUUGUUUUCAGAAUAAUGGCAGCAGCUGCUGGUGAUGAAAGUGACUUUUUGGAUAGUAUUGCUCUGGCAGAAGAAAGGUUCCAUGGUGAAGGUUAUCAGGAAGGCUACAGUGAAGGAAACCAUGUUGGAAUAACUGAAGGCAAACGGUACGGAUUCAUUUGUGGUACGAAAAUGGGAUUGGAGAUGGCUGGCUAUUAUGGAUUUGCAUUUACAUGGAAAUAUAUUCUACAGAAUACCCCCGACACCAAGAGCAGCAAAAGAAUGAAGACACUUGAUUCGUUAUUGAGAAUGAUUAAAAACUUCCCGUAUGAAGAUCCAUUGUAUGACAAACUGCACGAAGACCUGGAUGCAGUGCGAGCCAAGUUCAAGCAGGCUCACGCUGCCUGUAUUACACCUUCCAAGGUGCAAGAUAGCAGUGCAUAUGGAAGGAAAGAAACUACUGCUGAAAAAAAAAAAAAAACUAGAGGCUUGGAAUGACAGAAAUGAGCAAACUGAAAUGUCACGAUUUACUGUUGAGACCACUCCAGCGAUCAGCUGUCAUGGCACAGAUUGUAUGUUUGGCGCAAAUCAGCUCACUGCUGAAUGUUGUGCCUGAUUUAAAAAUUCGUGCUGAGAAGUCAGAACUCUUAUUUUAAGGCAGUGUAUGAAGAAAAGGCACAGAGUGGUAUUGUGUUGUAGUGUAAAAGCCCACACAAGAUCAGAGGAAAGAGUAACUUGCACAUUUGUGAUGGCGGUAGACUGUUGUGUAGCCCACAAUGAAAAAUGAGAGCUAGUUAGCAGGUCACCGUCAAAGUAAGAGUGGAUAUCACAGGACUGAAGUUAACAAAUGUGACUGCAUGCAAAUGCAGUGUUGUAUACAACAUUAUAAUGCAUUAUCGGUUGUAAAACACUGUUCGGUUAUACUUAAAUGUCAGAUGUCAAAACGUGUCCAGUACAUUGUAAGAAUCAGCAUGAUGUCACAAGACUGAUAUGGGAUGUUUGCUGUUUGAUCAAAGCGCUUCCAGUACAUUGUAAGAAUCAGCAUGAUGUCACAAGACCGAUAUGGGAUGUUUGCUGUUUGAUCAAAGCGCUUCCAGUACAUUGUAAGAAUCAGCAUGAUGUUACAAGACUGAUAUGGGAUGUUUGCUGUUUGACUGGAAAAUGUGAAAGUCAUUUUAACAAGAUUCUUUACACAGAAUGUAACACGAGUCUGAGGGUAACAUAUAACAUCAGAGUAAUGCUUGUUUUUCUCCCAACAUUUAAAGUAAGUUUGUAAAAUUCUGUUUUGACUUCAACAACCACAGUAUAUUUCUGAAACAAUA
This is an RNA transcript of Protopterus annectens (West African lungfish), 1784 nucleotides long. It is a transcript of the gene named LTO1 maturation factor of ABCE1, with no coding region annotated. NCBI's taxonomy places the organism in Eukaryota, Metazoa, Chordata, Ceratodontiformes, Protopteridae. The transcript has 6 exons. The record is from RefSeq and is a predicted model, not a curated record.